This 200-nucleotide long non-coding RNA is filed under the name Manihot esculenta (cassava). Its description in RNAcentral is "long non-coding RNA (MESC_LNC011107)". The record is from RNAcentral. Lineage: Eukaryota; Viridiplantae; Streptophyta; Magnoliopsida; Malpighiales; Euphorbiaceae.
CUUCCUAUAAUCCAUGCAUACUCUCCACCCAUUCUGAACUCUAGUGGGGACAAGUUCCCCUUCAGCAUUUGGAACAAUGGUAAUCCCAGUUUUCUUUGGGACUACAUGCACAGGACUCACCCAUUUGCUAUCAGAGAUUGGGUAGAUGAUACCUGCAUCAAGGAGCUUAACUAUUUCUUUCUUUACUACCUCCAUCAUAG